AUGUAUUUUUUAAUGCAUUCACUAUUCUCUCACAGCCAGAUGUUCCCCUUCAUUGCACAGCAUGAGGAGGUGGAAAGGAGCCAAAAAACUGCGUUAAGAAAGAAAAAAACUCCCAAAAGCCAAUCCAACAAACAACCAAGGAUCAAGAGGAACAGCUGUGUUUCCACCUUUGGAUGGGCAGGAGUUGAACUGUGGCAUCUGGCAGAAGCCAGCUUUAACGUGGGAUUUAUCCUGAAUAAAAUACUUGCAGAAGGAAAAGAAACGUCAUUUGACUCAUUGAAGAUUUAAAACCAACAGAGUCAUGUGGGAGAAAAUGAAAUUUUAGUCUCAAGUGGCAGAAUCGAGUCAUAAGAAGUAAAGAGAUUUGGAUGGUUUCUCACUAAAUGGAAAUUAUAUAGACGGCUUCUAAGACCACUGCAUCUCUCCAUCCCGCUCCUGCUGCACAGAGACUGCACUCU
This 458-nucleotide long non-coding RNA is filed under the name Zonotrichia albicollis (white-throated sparrow). Its description in RNAcentral is "lncRNA (ENSZALG00000017747.1)". Lineage: Eukaryota; Metazoa; Chordata; Aves; Passeriformes; Passerellidae. The record is from RNAcentral.